This 305-nucleotide ribosomal RNA is filed under the name uncultured bacterium. RNAcentral describes it as "bacterial SSU rRNA". It matches the Rfam family "Bacterial small subunit ribosomal RNA", at positions 337 to 659 of the family's 1533-position model. The record is from RNAcentral.
GCCUACGGGAGGCAGCAGUGGGGGAUAUUGCACAAUGGGGGAAACCCUGAUGCAGCGACGCCGCGUGGGUGAAGAAGCGCCUCGGCGCGUAAAGCCCUGUCAGCAGGGAAGAAAAUGACGGUACCUGAAGAAGAAGCCCCGGCUAACUACGUGCCAGCAGCCGCGGUAAUACGUAGGGGGCAAGCGUUAUCCGGAUUUACUGGGUGUAAAGGGGGCGCAGACGGCGAUGCAAGCCAGGAGUGAAAGCCCGGGGCCCAACCCCGGGACUGCUUUGGAAACUGUGUAACUGGAGUACAGGAGGGGCA